RNAcentral lists this ribosomal RNA (795 nucleotides) under Triticum aestivum (bread wheat). RNAcentral's name for it is "partial small subunit ribosomal RNA". The record is from RNAcentral. Lineage: Eukaryota; Viridiplantae; Streptophyta; Magnoliopsida; Poales; Poaceae.
AUGGAGAAAAAUAAAAGUCCUGGACCAGAUGGCUUACCCACUGAAUUCUACCAGAAUUUCUGGGAUUUAGUAAAAUGGGAGUUAAAAGAAUUACUGUAUGACUUUCACUCUGGUAAGCUGGAUAUAUCUAGGCUGAACUAUGGGAUCACCCUAGUGCCCAAAGUCAAAGAUGCUAGACAAAUACAAAAAUUCAGGCCUAUUUUCUUACUAAAUGUGAGCUUCAAAAUCAUCACUAAGGUGUUCAUGGAUAGACUUAGCAGAGUGAUCAGACCAAUUAUUUCCCCAAAUCAAACAGCCUUUAUAAAAGGGAGAUAUAUAAUGGAGGGAGUGGCAGUGCUACAUGAAGCACUAAAUACAAUGCAUAAAAAGAAGCAACGUGCCCUUCUUUUUAAGGUAGAUUUUGAGAAAGCAUAUGAUAAGAUCAAGUGGCCUUUUGUAUAUAAAAUAUUGAAACUCAAAAAAUUCCCUGAUAAAUUGUGUGACAUGGUGAUGCACACCAUGGUAGGAGGACAUGUGGGAGUUAAAGUGAAUGAUGAAAUUGGGCCUUAUUUUAAAACCUUUAAAGGGUUGAGACAAGGAGAUUCCUUGUCACCUUUAAUUUUUGAUAUUGUUGCAGAUGCAUUAGCCAUUAUAUUGGAUAAUGCUAUGCAGGAAGGGUUUGUAAAAGGGGCACUUUCUGAAUUGAACAACUGUGAAGUAAAUAUGCUGCAAUAUGUAGAUGACACAAUUUUCUUAUUACAAGGUGAUGAAGCUAGUACAAAAAAUCUGAAGUUCAUUCUGACAGCAUUUGAAUAG